GAUGAACGCUGGCGGCGUGCUUAACACAUGCAAGUCGAACGGAAAGGCCACAGCUUGCUGUGGUACUCGAGUGGCGAACGGGUGAGUAACACGUGGGUGAUCUGCCCUGUACUUCGGGAUAAGCUUGGGAAACUGGGUCUAAUACCGGAUAGGAAUCACAUGUGGGUGUGUGGUUGGAAAGCUUUUGCGGUAUGGGAUGAGCUCGCGGCCUAUCAGCUUGUUGGUGGGGUAAUGGCCUACCAAGGCGUCGACGGGUAGCCGGCCUGAGGGGGUGUACGGCCACAUUGGGACUGAGAUACGGCCCAGACUCCUACGGGAGGCAGCAGUGGGGAAUAUUGCACAAUGGGCGCAAGCCUGAUGCAGCGACGCCGCGUGGGGGAUGACGGCCUUCGGGUUGUAAACUCCUUUCGUCAGGGACGAAGCGAAAGUGACGGUACCUGGAUAAGAAGCACCGGCUAACUACGUG
Molecule: ribosomal RNA, 466 nt
Filed under: uncultured bacterium
Lineage: Bacteria
Description: partial 16S ribosomal RNA
Rfam family: Bacterial small subunit ribosomal RNA
Source: RNAcentral